ACACCUACGGGGGGCAGCAGUGGGGAAUAUUGCACAAUGGGGGAAACCCUGAUGCAGCGACGCCGCGUGAGUGAAGAAGUAUUUCGGUAUGUAAAGCUCUAUCAGCAGGGAAGAUAAUGACGGUACCUGAGUAAGAAGCCCCGGCUAACUACGUGCCAGCAGCCGCGGUAAUACGUAGGGGGCAAGCGUUAUCCGGAUUUACUGGGUGUAAAGGGGGCGCAGACGGCAGCGCAAGCCAGGAGUGAAAGCCCGGGGCCCAACCCCGGGACUGCUUUUGGAACUGCGCGGCUGGAGUGCAGGAGGGG
This 305-nucleotide ribosomal RNA is filed under the name uncultured bacterium. RNAcentral's name for it is "bacterial SSU rRNA". It matches the Rfam family "Bacterial small subunit ribosomal RNA", at positions 335 to 657 of the family's 1533-position model. The record is from RNAcentral.